RNAcentral lists this long non-coding RNA (638 nucleotides) under Nicotiana benthamiana. RNAcentral's name for it is "long non-coding RNA (NBEN_LNC003376)". Lineage: Eukaryota; Viridiplantae; Streptophyta; Magnoliopsida; Solanales; Solanaceae. The record is from RNAcentral.
UAGGCGAACACUGCUCUGCUGCAUGACGGAGUGAUCUUUCCCUCUUAUGAAAGCCGGUAUCUCACUUUCGAAAGAGAGUCUCGACGUGGCGGUGUAGACCUAGCUCCAUAGCUGGGCUAGUCACUGGCUAGAGGGCGACCGACCUACCGGACAUGCUUCCCUUCCUUUAUGCCAUGUAAAAGCCUAAUGAGCCAAAGCUUCAUGCCCUUCUUUAGAGGCAGAGUUUCAUUGAACAGCUGAUCUUGGCGAUUCUUCUUCUUUUAUGAAAUUUCUAGUUAGGCGAACACUGCUCUGCUGCAUGACGGAGUGAUCUUUCCCUCUUAUGAAAGCCGGUAUCUCACUUUCGAAAGAGAGUCUUGACGUGGCGGUGUAGACCUAGCGCCAUAGCUGGGCUAGUCACUAGCUAGAGGGCGACCGACCUACCGGACCGGAGGCUGCCGAGAAUGUUAUGUAAAAAGGACCAAGGAGGAUCCUAUCCUAAAGGAGAAGGAGGAGGAGUAGGAGCUAGCUUCUAGUCACUAGCUAGAGGGCGACCGACCUACCGGACCGGAGGCUGCCGAGAAUGUUAUGUAAAAAGGACCAAGGAUGAUCCUAUCCUAUUGGAGAAGGAGGAGGAGUAGGAGCUAGCUUUAGGGGCC